Molecule: non-coding RNA, 73 nt
Organism: Trichonephila inaurata madagascariensis
Lineage: Eukaryota; Metazoa; Arthropoda; Arachnida; Araneae; Nephilidae
Source: the annotation of a GenBank genome assembly
GUCCCUGUAGCGUAAUGGAUAGCACGUUGGACUUCUAAUUCAAGGGCUGUGGGUUCGAAUCCCACCUGGGAUG